Molecule: ribosomal RNA, 1822 nt
Filed under: human gut metagenome
Description: bacterial LSU rRNA
Rfam family: Bacterial large subunit ribosomal RNA
Source: RNAcentral
UGCACAGACAACCAGGAUGUUGGCUUAGAAGCAGCCACUCAUUUAAAGAGUGCGUAAUAGCUCACUGGUCGAGUGAUCCUGCGCCGAAAAUUUCCGGGGCUAAAACGUACUACCGAAGCUACGGCAUCAUUUAUGAUGGGUAGGGGAGCUUCGUAUGCAGGCUGAAGCAUGACCGUAAGGACAUGUGGACAGUAUACGAGUGAGAAUGUUGGCAUGAGUAGCGAGACGUGGGUGAGAAUCCCACGGGCCGUAAACCCAAGGUUUCCAGGGGAAGGUUCGUCCGCCCUGGGUUAGUCGGGACCUAAGCCGAGGCCGAAAGGCGUAGGUGAUGGACAACAGGUUGAUAUUCCUGUACCGCCAAUAAGCGUUUGAGAGAUGGAGUGACACAGUAGGAUAAGCUAACCGUACUGUUGGUUAUGUACGGCUAAGCAUUGAGGCAGUCUAAAUAGGCAAAUCCGUUUAGACAAUGCUAGGAUGUGAUGGGGAAGCCCUUCGGGGCGAAGUAGCUGAUUUCACACUGUCAAGAAAAGCUUCUAUCGAGUUUAAAGGCGCCCGUACCGUAAACCGACACAGGUGGGUGAGGAGAGUAUCCUAAGGCCAGCGAGAGAACUAUUGUUAAGGAACUCGGCAAAAUGACCCCGUAACUUAGGGAGAAGGGGUGCCUGUCUAUGACAGGCCGCAGAGAAUAGGCCCAAGCGACUGUUUACCAAAAACACAGGUUUCUGCUAAGUCGCAAGACGAUGUAUAGGAGCUGACGCCUGCCCGGUGCUGGAAGGUUAAGGGGAUCUGUUAGAGCAAUCGAAGCAGUGAACUUAAGCCCCAGUAAACGGCGGCCGUAACUAUAACGGUCCUAAGGUAGCGAAAUUCCUUGUCGGGUAAGUUCCGACCCGCACGAAAGGCGUAACGAUUUGGGCACUGUCUCAACAAUAGACUCGGUGAAAUUGUAAUCCCGGUGAAGAUGCCGGGUACCUGCGACAGGACGGAAAGACCCCAUGGAGCUUUACUGUAGCUUGACGUUGGGUCUUGGUACUACAUGUACAGGAUAGGUGGGAGACUAUGAAGCAUGGACGCCAGUCUGUGUGGAGUCAUCCUUGGGAUACCACCCUUGUAGUACUGGGAUCCUAACCAUAGGCCUUGAAUCAGGUCUUGGAACACCGUCAGGUGGGCAGUUUGACUGGGGCGGUCGCCUCCUAAAAAGUAACGGAGGCGCUCAAAGGUUUCCUCAGCACGGUCGGAAAUCGUGCGAAGAGUGUAAAGGCAAAAGGAAGCUUGAUUGCAAGACAUACAGGUCGAGCAAGGACGAAAGUCGGACUUAGUGAUCCGGUGGUACCGCAUGGAAGGGCCAUCGCUCAACGGAUAAAAGCUACCCUGGGGAUAACAGGCUUAUCUCCCCCAAGAGUCCACAUCGACGGGGAGGUUUGGCACCUCGAUGUCGGCUCAUCACAUCCUGGGGCUGUAGUAGGUCCCAAGGGUUGGGCUGUUCGCCCAUUAAAGUGGUACGCGAGCUGGGUUCAGAACGUCGUGAGACAGUUCGGUCCCUAUCCGUCGCAGGCGUAGGAAAUUUGAGAAGACCUGUCCUUAGUACGAGAGGACCGGGAUGGACGUACCUCUGGUGUACCAGUUGUUCUGCCAAGGGCAUGGCUGGGUAGCUAUGUACGGAAUGGAUAAGCGCUGAAAGCAUCUAAGCGCGAAGCCAACUUCAAGAUAAGAUUUCCCACCGUAAGGGUAAGACCCCAGGAAGACUACCUGGUUGAUAGGUCGAAGGUGUAAGUGCAGUAAUGUAUUUAGCUUAUCGAUACUAAUAGGUCGAGGACUUGACCAA